Molecule: small RNA, 28 nt
Filed under: Bombyx mori (domestic silkworm)
Lineage: Eukaryota; Metazoa; Arthropoda; Insecta; Lepidoptera; Bombycidae
Description: ovarian small RNA-2425
Source: RNAcentral
AAAAUCAAACCAUUGUGCCAGACUUUGU